This 363-nucleotide long non-coding RNA is filed under the name Gossypium raimondii (Peruvian cotton). Its description in RNAcentral is "long non-coding RNA (GRAI_LNC002147)". The record is from RNAcentral. Lineage: Eukaryota; Viridiplantae; Streptophyta; Magnoliopsida; Malvales; Malvaceae.
UUUACUCUUUCCCACUUUCCCCCCAAAACUUUUACUCCCCUCCCCUCCUAACCCCCCAAUCUACCCAAAAUUCAUUUCCCACCAAAAUUUUACUCUCCCAUUUACUUUUUCUCAAAAUUUUACUCCCAAAACCCUCAAAACCUUUUAUUUUUCCCCAAAAUUUUUACUCUCUCCCACUUUUUCCCUAAAACUUUUAUUCCCUUCUCAUCCCACCUCUCAUCUACCCCAAACCCUCCUCCCUCCAUUUUUUUUAAUAUUUUCCCUCCAAAAUUUUACUCCCCCUAUUUACUUUCCCUCAAACUUUUAUUCCUCAAAACUUUUUAUUUUCCCCCUAAACUUUUACUUCUCACCCUUUACUCUCAA